RNAcentral lists this ribosomal RNA (497 nucleotides) under uncultured bacterium. RNAcentral's name for it is "partial 16S ribosomal RNA". It matches the Rfam family "Bacterial small subunit ribosomal RNA", at positions 28 to 507 of the family's 1533-position model. The record is from RNAcentral.
GAUGAACGCUGGCGGCGUGCCUAAUACAUGCAAGUCGAGCGAACAGACGAGGAGCUUGCUCCUCUGACAUUAGCGGCGGAGGGGUGAGUAACACGUGGAUAACAUACCUAUAAGACUGGGAUAACUUCGGGAAACCGGAGCGAAUACAGGAUAAUAUAUUGAACUGCAUGGGUAAAUAGUGAAAAACGGGUUUGUUGUCACUUAUAGAUGGAUCCGCGCCGCAUUAGCUAGUUGGUAAGGUAACGGCUCACCAAGGCGACGAUGCAUAGCCGACCUGAGAGGGUGAUCGGCCACACUGGGACUGAGACACGGCCCAGACUCCUACGGGAGGCAGCAGUAGGGAAUCUUCCGCAAUGGACGAAAGUCUGACGGAGCAACGCCGCGUGAGUGAAGAAGGUUUUCGGAUCGUAAAACUCUGUUGUAAGGGAAGAACAAGUAUGUUAGUAGCUGUACGUAUCUUGACGGUACCUAAUCAGAAAGCCACGGCUAACUACGUG